GACGAACGCUGGCGGCGUGCUUAACACAUGCAAGUCGAACGGAAAGGCCCUGCUUUUGUGGGGUGCUCGAGUGGCGAACGGGUGAGUAACACGUGAGUAACCUGCCCUUGACUUUGGGAUAACUUCAGGAAACUGGGGCUAAUACCGGAUAGGAGCUCCUGCUGCAUGGUGGGGGUUGGAAAGUUUCGGCGGUUGGGGAUGGACUCGCGGCUUAUCAGCUUGCUGGUGGGGUAGUGGCUUACCAAGGCUUUGACGGGUAGCCGGCCUGAGAGGGCGACCGGCCACAUUGGGACUGAGAUACGGCCCAGACUCCUACGGGAGGCAGCAGUGGGGAAUAUUGCACAAUGGGCGGAAGCCUGAUGCAGCAACGCCGCGUGCGGGAUGACGGCCUUCGGGUUGUAAACCGCUUUCGCCUGUGACGAAGCGUGAGUGACGGUAAUGGGUAAAGAAGCACCGGCUAACUACGUG
RNAcentral lists this ribosomal RNA (468 nucleotides) under uncultured bacterium. RNAcentral's name for it is "partial 16S ribosomal RNA". It matches the Rfam family "Bacterial small subunit ribosomal RNA", at positions 28 to 507 of the family's 1533-position model. The record is from RNAcentral.